AGAGCGAACGCUGGCGGCAGGCUUAACACAUGCAAGUCGAGCGGGCGUAGCAAUACGUCAGCGGCAGACGGGUGAGUAACGCGUGGGAACGUACCUUUUGGUUCGGAACAACACAGGGAAACUUGUGCUAAUACCGGAUAAGCCCUUACGGGGAAAGAUUUAUCGCCGAAAGAUCGGCCCGCGUCUGAUUAGCUAGUUGGUGAGGUAACGGCUCACCAAGGCGACGAUCAGUAGCUGGUCUGAGAGGAUGAUCAGCCACAUUGGGACUGAGACACGGCCCAAACUCCUACGGGAGGCAGCAGUGGGGAAUAUUGGACAAUGGGCGCAAGGCCUGAUCCAGCCAUGCCGCGUGAGUGAUGAAGGCCCUAGGGUUGUAAAGCUCUUUUGUGCGGGAAGAUAAUGACGGUACCGCAAGAAUAACGCCCGGCUAACUUCGCGUCAGCAGCCGC
Molecule: ribosomal RNA, 449 nt
Filed under: uncultured bacterium
Lineage: Bacteria
Description: SSU rRNA
Rfam family: Bacterial small subunit ribosomal RNA
Source: RNAcentral